AUGGAGAGUUUGAUUCUGGCUCAGAACGAACGCUGGCGGCGUGGAUAAGACAUGCAAGUCGAACGGGAGAAUUGCUAGCUUGCUAAUAAUUCUCUAGUGGCGCACGGGUGAGUAACACGUGAGUAACCUGCCUCUUAGUGGGGGAUAGCCCUGGGAAACCGGGAUUAAUACCGCAUACGAUUGAAAGAUCAAAGCAGCAAUGCGCUAGGAGAUGGGCUCGCGGCCUAUUAGUUAGUUGGUGAGGUAACGGCUCACCAAGGCGAUGACGGGUAGCCGGUCUGAGAGGAUGUCCGGCCACACUGGAACUGAGACACGGUCCAGACACCUACGGGUGGCAGCAGUCGAGAAUCAUUCACAAUGGGGGCAACCCUGAUGGUGCGACGCCGCGUGGGGGAAUGAAGGUCUUCGGAUUGUAAACCCCUGUCAUGUGGGAGCAAAUUAAAAAGAUAGUACCACAAGAGGAAGAGACGGCUAACUCUGUGCCAGCAGCCGCGGUAAUACAGAGGUCUCAAGCGUUGUUCGGAAUCACUGGGCGUAAAGCGUGCGUAGGCUGUUUCGUAAGUCGUGUGUGAAAGGCAGGGGCUCAACCCCUGGAUUGCACAUGAUACUGCGAGACUAGAGUAAUGGAGGGGGAACCGGAAUUCUCGGUGUAGCAGUGAAAUGCGUAGAUAUCGAGAGGAACACUCGUGGCGAAGGCGGGUUCCUGGACAUUAACUGACGCUGAGGCACGAAGGCCAGGGGAGCGAAAGGGAUUAGAUACCCCUGUAGUCCUGGCAGUAAACGGUGCACGCUUGGUGUGCGGGGAAUCGACCCCCUGCGUGCCGGAGCUAACGCGUUAAGCGUGCCGCCUGGGGAGUACGGUCGCAAGAUUAAAACUCAAAGAAAUUGACGGGGACCCGCACAAGCGGUGGAGUAUGUGGCUUAAUUCGAUGCAACGCGAAGAACCUUACCUGGGCUUGACAUGUAAUGAACAACAUGUGAAAGCAUGCGACUCUUCGGAGGCGUUACACAGGUGCUGCAUGGCCGUCGUCAGCUCGUGUCGUGAGAUGUUUGGUUAAGUCCAGCAACGAGCGCAACCCCUGUUGCCAGUUACCAGCACGUCAAGGUGGGGACUCUGGCGAGACUGCCCAGAUCAACUGGGAGGAAGGUGGGGACGACGUCAGGUCAGUAUGGCCCUUAUGCCCAGGGCUGCACACGUACUACAAUGCCCAGUACAGAGGGGGCCGAAGCCGCGAGGCGGAGGAAAUCCUGAAAACUGGGCCCAGUUCGGACUGUAGGCUGCAACCCGCCUACACGAAGCCGGAAUCGCUAGUAAUGGCGCAUCAGCUACGGCGCCGUGAAUACGUUCCCGGGUCUUGUACACACCGCCCGUCACAUCAUGGAAGCCGGUCGCACCCGAAGUAUCUGAAGCCAACCGCAAGGAGGCAGGGUCCUAAGGUGAGACUGGUAACUGGGAUGAAGUCGUAACAAGGUAGCCGUAGGGGAACCUGCGGCUGGAUCACCUCCUUUCUAUGGA
This 1516-nucleotide ribosomal RNA is filed under the name Escherichia coli. RNAcentral's name for it is "bacterial SSU rRNA". It matches the Rfam family "Bacterial small subunit ribosomal RNA". Lineage: Bacteria; Pseudomonadati; Pseudomonadota; Gammaproteobacteria; Enterobacterales; Enterobacteriaceae. RNAcentral also lists the same sequence under 69 other names. The record is from RNAcentral.